GAAACAUCUAAGUACCCCGAGGAAAAGAAAUCAACCGAGAUUCCCCCAGUAGCGGCGAGCGAACGGGGAGCAGCCCAGAGCCUGAAUCAGUAUGUGUGUUAGUGGAAGCGUCUGGAAAGGCGCGCGAUACAGGGUGACAGCCCCGUACACAAAAAUGCACAUGCUGUGAGCUCGAUGAGUAGGGCGGGACACGUGGUAUCCUGUCUGAAUAUGGGGGGACCAUCCUCCAAGGCUAAAUACUCCUGACUGACCGAUAGUGAACCAGUACCGUGAGGGAAAGGCGAAAAGAACCCCGGCGAGGGGAGUGAAAAAGAACCUGAAACCGUGU
This 328-nucleotide ribosomal RNA is filed under the name Escherichia coli. RNAcentral's name for it is "partial 23S ribosomal RNA". It matches the Rfam family "Bacterial large subunit ribosomal RNA", at positions 195 to 561 of the family's 2925-position model. Lineage: Bacteria; Pseudomonadati; Pseudomonadota; Gammaproteobacteria; Enterobacterales; Enterobacteriaceae. The record is from RNAcentral.